Molecule: ribosomal RNA, 464 nt
Filed under: uncultured bacterium
Lineage: Bacteria
Description: bacterial SSU rRNA
Rfam family: Bacterial small subunit ribosomal RNA
Source: RNAcentral
GUACUCCUACGGGAGCAGCAGUAGGGAAUAUUGGGUCAAUCGGGGGGCAAACCCUGAACCAGCCAUGCCGCGUGCAGGAAGACGGCCUUCUGGGUUGUAAACUGCUUUUAUAUAGGAAGAAAGACCAUGCGUGGUUCUAUGACGGUACUAUAAGAAUAAAGGACCGGCUAACUCCGUGCCAGCAGCCGCGGUAAUACGGAGGGUCCAAGCGUUGUCCGGAAUUAUUGGGUUUAAAGGGUGCGUAGGCGGCCAAUUAAGUCAGAGCUGAAAUCCCACUGCUUAACAGUGGAACUGGCUUUGAUACUGGUUGGCUUGAGUAUACUAGAGGUAGGCGGAAUUGAAGGUGUAGCGGUGAAAUGCAUAGAUAUCUUCAAGAACACCAAUUGCGUAGGCAGCUUACUGGAGUAUAACUGACGCUGAGGCACGAAAGCGUGGGGAGCGAACAGGAUUAGAUACCCUGGUAG